Molecule: long non-coding RNA, 417 nt
Organism: Nematostella vectensis (starlet sea anemone)
Lineage: Eukaryota; Metazoa; Cnidaria; Anthozoa; Actiniaria; Edwardsiidae
Exons: 2
Source: RefSeq, a predicted model, not a curated record
GUCUAACGCUUCGCUUUGAUAUUGGCUCAAUAUUCUAGAUUGUUUUGUUCGCGCACAGGGCUGUAAUAACGUGACCGUGCUAACUGGUGACACACCGUAUGCCUCGUGCUUCGUAUCACGCUCACACAACACGAUUAGCGCUUCCUUGAUUCCGCUUUACUCUUCACCAUUUUAAGGGAUAUUUCACGCUCACGCUGUCUACUCACGCAGAAGGAAAUGACAUCAUAUGUAACAUCAUUGGCGCUCAUGCAUAGUUAUUUUGAUAACAUUACGGACACCUCAAGCAAACGAUUCUUAAAUCGGAGAAGAGAUUGGUAAUCGGCAUGAAGACCACCGGGAGCCAAGCUUCUAUAGCUAUUGAUUUUUCCAUACCCUUUUUUUUAAAGCAGAUAAAGAAUCGCAAAUUCUUCUUCUUUA